CAGCAGCCGCGGGAAUACGAAGGGGGCUAGCGUUGUUCGGAUUUACUGGGCGUAAAGCGCACGUAGGCGGAUCGAUCAGUCAGGGGUGAAAUCCCAGAGCUCAACUCUGGAACUGCCUUUGAUACUGUCGAUCUGGAGUAUGGAAGAGGUGAGUGGAAUUCCGAGUGUAGAGGUGAAAUUCGUAGAUAUGGGGAGGAACACCGGUGGCGAAGGCGGCCAUCUGGGACAACACUGACGCUGAGGCACGAAAGCGUGGGGAGCAAACAGGAUUAGAGACCCCGGUAGUCCCUGUCUCUUAUAC
RNAcentral lists this ribosomal RNA (301 nucleotides) under uncultured bacterium. RNAcentral's name for it is "partial 16S ribosomal RNA". It matches the Rfam family "Bacterial small subunit ribosomal RNA", at positions 509 to 807 of the family's 1533-position model. The record is from RNAcentral.